AACGAACGCUGGCGGCAUGCCUAACACAUGCAAGUCGAACGAGACCUUCGGGUCUAGUGGCGCACGGGUGCGUAACGCGUGGGAACCUGCCCUUAGGUUCGGAAUAACUCCCCGAAAGGGGUGCUAAUACCGGAUAAUGUCUUCGGACCAAAGAUUUAUCGCCUUUGGUUGGGCCCGCGUUGGAUUAGCUAGUUGGUAGGGUAAAAGCCUACCAAGGCGACGAUCCAUAGCUGGUCUGAGAGGAUGAUCAGCCACACUGGGACUGAGACACGGCCCAGACGCCUACGGGAGGCGGCAGGGGGGAAUAUUGGACAAUGGGAGAAAGCCUGAUCCAGCAAUGCCGCGUGAGUAAUGAAGGCCUUAGGGUUGUAAAGCUCUUUUACCCGGGAUGAUAAUGACAGUACCGGGAGAAUAAGCUCCGGCUAACUCCGUG
Molecule: ribosomal RNA, 433 nt
Filed under: uncultured bacterium
Lineage: Bacteria
Description: partial 16S ribosomal RNA
Rfam family: Bacterial small subunit ribosomal RNA
Source: RNAcentral